AGAGUUUGAUCAUGGCUCAGAACGAACGCUGGCGGCGUGCCUAACACAUGCAAGUCGAACGUGAUUAGAGAGCUUGCUCUCUAUGAAAGUGGCGCACGGGUGAGUAACGCGUAGAUAAUCUGCCUGAUGAUCGGGGAUAACACUUCGAAAGGGGUGCUAAUACCGGAUAAGCCCACGGAGUCUUUGGAUUCUGCGGGAAAAGGGGGGGACCUUCGGGCCUUCUGUCAUCAGAUGAGUCUGCGUACCAUUAGCUAGUUGGUAGGGUAAAGGCCUACCAAGGCGACGAUGGUUAGCUGGUCUGAGAGGAUGAUCAGCCACACUGGAACUGAGACACGGUCCAGACUCCUACGGGAGGCAGCAGUGGGGAAUUUUGCGCAAUGGGGGAAACCCUGACGCAGCAACGCCGCGUGAGUGAUGAAGGCUCUUGGGUCGUAAAGCUCUGACAGAGGGAAAGAAGUGUAUUGUGGCUAAUAUCCAUGAUACUUGACGGUACCCUCAAAGGAAGCACCGGCUAACUCCGUGCCAGCAGCCGCGGUAAUACGGGGGGUGCAAGCGUUGUUCGGAUUUAUUGGGCGUAAAGCGCGUGUAGGCGGUUUGUUAAGUCUGUUGUGAAAGCCCCGGGCUCAACCCGGGAAGUGCACUGGAUACUGGCAAACUUGAAUACGGGAGAGGGUAGUGGAAUUCCUGGUGUAGGAGUGAAAUCCGUAGAUAUCAGGAGGAACACCGGUGGCGAAGGCGGCUACCUGGACCGAUAUUGACGCUGAGACGCGAAAGCGUGGGUAGCAAACAGGAUUAGAUACCCUAGUAGUCC
Molecule: ribosomal RNA, 811 nt
Filed under: uncultured bacterium
Lineage: Bacteria
Description: bacterial SSU rRNA
Rfam family: Bacterial small subunit ribosomal RNA
Source: RNAcentral